UAAUUGAAGAGUUUGAUCAUGGCUCAGAUUGAACGCUGGCGGCAGGCCUAACACAUGCAAGUCGAGCGGCAGCACAGAGGAACUUGUUCCUUGGGUGGCGAGCGGCGGACGGGUGAGUAAUGCCUGGGAAAUUGCCCGGUAGAGGGGGAUAACCAUUGGAAACGAUGGCUAAUACCGCAUAACCUCGCAAGAGCAAAGCAGGGGACCUUCGGGCCUUGUGCU
This 222-nucleotide ribosomal RNA is filed under the name Vibrio cholerae. Its description in RNAcentral is "partial 16S ribosomal RNA". It matches the Rfam family "Bacterial small subunit ribosomal RNA", at positions 1 to 219 of the family's 1533-position model. The record is from RNAcentral. Lineage: Bacteria; Pseudomonadati; Pseudomonadota; Gammaproteobacteria; Vibrionales; Vibrionaceae.